RNAcentral lists this small RNA (631 nucleotides) under Arabidopsis thaliana (thale cress). RNAcentral describes it as "ATSL005310". Lineage: Eukaryota; Viridiplantae; Streptophyta; Magnoliopsida; Brassicales; Brassicaceae. The record is from RNAcentral.
AAUAUUGUUUUGGAUAUAGGAUGGUGAUUAAAAAAAAAAAGUUUUGAUUAGUGUUGGUGCAGGAAUUAGCAUCUCCGAUAAUACCAAUUUAAACCAAGGAAUAACGUGAAUAAAAUCGAGAAUUCGAUUGAACCGGGGUAUCCCGGCUAGUCUGUUAAUGGGCCUAAGUCAUGAGCUCGCCAGAAGAUUUAGGUCGACAGUCAAGAUCGCCAUAGGCGGCUUCUCAGGUCGUGUAAAGGGAAAACUUCCAUUUAAGAGAAGAGGAUCUCAUGAAGAAUAGAAGUAAUGAAGAUUUAGACCUAAGAUAAUUAGAAGUUUAUCAUAUUUUGGUAUGUUGGACCCAUUGUAUAAAUAGGGGGGGGGGGUCAAGCCCUCUAAGAGGAUCAUGACCAACCUAAGACAAGAGACUACUAUUACAGAGCAAACUCUAGCUUUUUAUUCAAGCAACUUUGUUCUUCUCCUUUGAUUAUUCGUGAGCUAAGAGAGAAGUGAAUUUGUCUAAAUCCCUUAGUACAAAUUAAUUGUUUGAUUAGAGAAUCAACAAUUAGUUUUGAACCUGAUGAUGUAUUGGUCAAACUUGUAAUCAUCGCAUCUGAGUUUGAGGUCAUUUUUUCCAACUGUUGUUAUACAU